GCGCACAGCUGACAACGUCAAUUCAAAUACCAACAACUUGCUGCAUGCGAUCAGCUGUUCAUUUUGUUAUUGAAUUAUUUUUGCUGUUGAAUUUUUGUGAAAAUUUUAGGCAUAAAGUAAAUAAUUGAUUAAUUAAAUGUAUUUUAGUAAAAGUUAAGCCUAAAUAGUGGAAAAGUGCGAUAUGAAAAUGUAAGAAUAAAAAAUGAGUGCAAACUGUGAAUAAAUUGUGAGUUAAAAUAAAAGUUAUUGGCAUUUGUAGAACAGCAGUGCACGGGUGAUAUUCAGUAUAAGGUAUUUACAUACAUAUGUAUGUAUAUCAUUAUUUUAAAAAAAAAUUAGUUGCUUUAUUAAUAUUUCAAAUAUUAUAAGCAAAAGAGUUGAACAAGUGGCUCAGCUCGGUGAAAUUGUGCGCGAGUGUCAGUUGUUAUAGUUAUUUAACGCGUAAAAAACAUACCAAUAUCAUAAAAUCAUAAAUCUGUGUUGUAUUGUGAAUUUGCAUAAGAUCCACAAAUAAUUAAAACCCAUCACAAAAUAUUAAAAAAAAUUUUUUUAAGAAGACUCGAAAAGACAAUAAAACUCAAUUGGUUUAAAUUCUAAAGAGAAGAUUAUAACAACAGUAAAAAAUAAAAGAAAUAGUGUGAGUGAGCAAAAUGAAAAAAUUUAAGCUAUAAGUUUCAUAUUUGAUAUUUGAAUUUAUGUUUUCAAGUUUGCUUUUUAGCCGCAGAAUAAAUAUCACGAGACAGCUACAAUCAUUUAUCCUACUUCAUCAAAAUCUUUCCGAACGAUCAAUUUACUAAAGUUCAACGAUUUUUAUUCUUAUUACAAUGGUAAAUACACAAACAAAACCAGUUUUGUCCGGCAUUUUUUGUAUAACCAAUAUUUUUUUAAAGUAAAUAUGUACAUACACACGUGCGUACUUUUGUUAUACAGACACGAAAUUAAAGCAAGCUCAGUGUGAUCAAACGAAGUCAGCUUCAAUUUUAAUAUAAUAGUAUGAAAUUCUGUGUAAGCAACAAUAGUCCGUGGACGUCUGCUUCGCAACGCAGUCGGCAUCGGUCGUCGAUGCCUCGCACCACCCGCUGAGCGCUGCGCAAUCAGUUGGGUCGCAGCACAAUGUGUGAGCGUAUCUCCCCUGCUCCAUUUUUCUACGCAUACAUGGCGGGUAUAGUGUAGGUCCAAUGCACAGUCAGACACUGUGCGUAUGGAAGUUAAAAGCAAACAGGUUGUUGGAUAAAAGGAGUUCAUCAGAAACGAUAUUCGCUAAUUGCCCACUUUGACAAAUCAGUGCACCGUAAUCGGAAGCAACGAUUCAUUCAAUGAUAAAUGAUCACAAAAGCUGUUUUAAAAUCACACUAUGCUAUAGACACAUUCAAACAUAUACCGGUGCCAACAAAAGAAAGGGAAAUUCUCAAUCAAAUCAAAUGAAAAUCAAUCGAUCGGAAUCGUUGCAAAUGUGAAUUUUAGUUGAAAGCGCGGCGCGCUUUUCAAUAACGGCUCGGCAGUGGCUGGAUGCGCAGAUGCAAAUGACCAUGAGGUGCAGUGCGAGGUAGAGGAGGAAGUGGCAGUGAACACUGUGACACAAGUCAACGUAUAUAUUUAUCUUGGGGGCAGGAUGUUGUUCAUACGUCUACAACGCGGACUAGCAAAGGCUAAGCAGCAGUGCGGAAAAUUAUGAGCUACUAGUACUGUAAGGACUUGUGGUCUAUUAACUGGAUGACAAAUUAUACAAGUUUGAAGUUUUUAUAAAUUAUAAAAACAUUUGAACACUAAUCUUUUGGUGACUGCUAUUCGCUAAUACAUACAUACUUAUGUAAUAAAUAUGAAUACAAGAUAAAUUAUUUUAAAAAUAAGAAUUAUAUAAACACUUGAAGUUCACUUUCAUUGUGCACAAAUGCACAUUAUUGACAGAGAAUUUUAAUAAACAAAUAUUUAUUAUAAUAGUUUAUAAUUUUCAGUAAUAAAUAAAUAUUUAGCAACAUUCUCUGCAGAAAUGUUUCAGUGCCGCUGUAAAUUGUUUAAAUUAUGGUUUUGUCCUCCACUAUAUACAGUGUUGCUUAAAAUACACACUUUAUCCAAUACAGAUAUUUUCAAAGUGUAUUCCCCUAACAACGUUUUAGUGCCACUGUAGCUUGCUCAUAUGUUACAUUAUGGUUUGUGUAUUAACUAUGUACAGGAAACUGACAACUAUAUGCCUGAGUAGCACACCGCCAGUGUAGUUUGCGCCUGCUGUCAGGCAACAAAUUGUGUAUUUAGCAAAAGUGCAGCCACCUGCUGCAGCACUUUGGUCGCCUGGUAGAAUGGAACAACGACGACUUUUGAUAAUUUCGCGGCAAGCCCUGCAAUUGCAAGUGUGUGUGUGUGUGUGUAUAUGCUGUGGGACAUGUACUAUGUUAAAAUGAAAUUUACUGUAGUUUCUAUAAGGAUUGAGUAUUAAUUUAAAAAAAAAUAAGAAAAUUAAUAGAAGAAAUAAGCAAAAAAUUGAAAAUAAAGAUAUAAAAAUAAUUAAAAUAAAGGA
Non-coding RNA from Bactrocera oleae (olive fruit fly), 2515 nucleotides. Lineage: Eukaryota; Metazoa; Arthropoda; Insecta; Diptera; Tephritidae. The record is from RefSeq and is a predicted model, not a curated record.